RNAcentral lists this unclassified non-coding RNA (605 nucleotides) under leaf metagenome. RNAcentral describes it as "partial contains small subunit ribosomal RNA, internal transcribed spacer 1, 5.8S ribosomal RNA, internal transcribed spacer 2, and large subunit ribosomal RNA". The stretch from base 230 to 383 matches the Rfam family "5.8S ribosomal RNA". The record is from RNAcentral.
UGGAAGUAAAAGUCGUAACAAGGUUUCCGUUGGUGAACCAGCGGAAGGAUCAUUACAGCGAAGCGGCGCGAGCCGCCUUUCGAACCACCGCGUACCGAACCCCCCACGUUGCCUCGGCGGGCGCCGGGCGCCCCGCGCCCGCCCCGCCGAACGGCCCCCCAGCAAGACCCCUUCCGUCGAGAUGGCGUCGUCUGAACCCUCCGGGGAAAACGUUUGAAACGAAAAACACAGCUUUCAACAAUGGAUCUCUUGGCUCCGGCAUCGAUGAAGAACGCAGCGAAACGCGAUAGCUAGUGUGAAUUGCAGAUUUCAGUGAAUCAUCGAGUCUUUGAACGCACAUUGCGCCUCUUGGUAUUCCUCGAGGCAUGCCUGUUCGAGCGUCGUUACGCCCCUCAAGCGCGAGCUUGGUGUUGGGGACCGCCCCUGAGACACGGCGGCGGCCCCGGAAUGCAUCGGCGGUGCUGGUCCCAGCCCGGAGCGCAGCAGACAUGCGGCUCCGCGGGCGGGGCCGGCGCCCGCCGGACAAACGACGAGACCCCUCCACAAGUCGACCUCGAAUCAGGUAGGGAUACCCGCUGAACUUAAGCAUAUCAAUAAGCGGAGGA